Long non-coding RNA from Homo sapiens (human), 1073 nucleotides. RefSeq lists it as uncharacterized. The transcript is spliced from 2 exons. Lineage: Eukaryota; Metazoa; Chordata; Mammalia; Primates; Hominidae. The record is from RefSeq and is a predicted model, not a curated record.
CUUCCGGUCGUUACGAGCGAGCCCCGCCCCGCACGCCGGCGCCGGGCGGGCACACUGGACCAGCGUUCCCAGAACACUCCGCGAAGGUGUUCCUGAACUUCAUUUCCCAGAGGCUUUAGCUAACGUGUACUUUCGCCCUGCGAUGGGCCGCACAUUUUCGCCGCCAGUCUUUUGCUCCUGUUUCAGGCAAAACUUGGAAGCAGCCAGAUGUCCUUCAGUACAUGAAUGAAUACAUAAACUAUGGUACAUUCAGACAAUGGAACAUUCAGUAAGGAAAAGAAAUGAGCUAUCAAGCUACCAAAAAGGAAGAACAGAAGAAUAUUAAGUGCGUAUUGGUGAGUGAAAGAAGUCAAUCUGGAAAAGGCUAUAUACUGUAUAAUUCCAUCUACAUAACAUUCCUGAAAAGGCUAAUCUAUGGAAACAGCAAAGAUUGGUGGUUGCCAGGGGCUUAGGGGGAGGGAAAAAGGGAAGAAUAAGUGACAUUCAGUGGAUUUUAAGAGGGAAGAAUAAGUGACGUUCAGUGGAUUUUAAGAGGGAAGAAUAAGUGACGUUCAGUGGAUUUUUAAGGCAGUGAAACUAUUCUGUAUGAUAUUGUAAUGGCGAAUACAUGUUGUUAUACAUUUGUUAAAACCCAUAGAAUAUACAGCACAAAGAGUGAACCGUAAUAUAAACUAUGGUCUUUAGUUAAUAAUAAUUUAUCAACAUUGGCUCAUCAAUUUUAACAGAUGUACCACACUAGUGCAAGAUGUUAAUAAUAGAGAAACUGGGGGAGGAGGGGAGAAGGAAGGAGUAUACUGAAACUCUACUUUCUGCUCAAUUUUUCUAUAAACCUAAAACUGUUCCCAAAAUGUUCUAUUAAAUUUAAAAUAUAAGAAUGUUAAAUAUGCUUAUGGUAAGGUCUCAGAAGGAAAUUAAUGACAUGCAAUUAGAAACUGAAGGAAUGGUUAUCUUGUUAUAAAGUGGGAGAGCCUUGGCUGAAUUGUAUUCUAUAUUUGGGUGGAAAACAGAAUUUGUACAUGAUGAACUUGAAUAUUUAGUUAAGAAGACUUCCAAGUAAAAUGUGGAAUGUGCAA